AAUAGCCCAGUGGUUAGGGCACUCAGCUUGGAUGUGGAGACCUGGGUUCGAAUCCCUGUU
RNAcentral lists this transfer RNA (60 nucleotides) under Chelonia mydas (Green sea turtle). It matches the Rfam family "tRNA", at positions 6 to 65 of the family's 71-position model. From Rfam's summary of the family: Transfer RNA (tRNA) molecules are approximately 80 nucleotides in length. The record is from Rfam by way of RNAcentral. Lineage: Eukaryota; Metazoa; Chordata; Testudines; Cheloniidae.